ACCCGCUGAACUUAAGCAUAUCAAUAAGCGGAGGAAAAGAAACCAACAGGGAUUGCCCUAGUAACGGCGAGUGAAGCGGCAACAGCUCAAAUUUGAAAUCUGGCCUCUUUUGGGGUCCGAGUUGUAAUUUGCAGAGGGCGCUUUGGCGUUGGCAGCGGUCCAAGUUCCUUGGAACAGGACGUCACAGAGGGUGAGAAUCCCGUACGUGGUCGCUGGCCUUCGCCGUGUAAAGCCCCUUCGACGAGUCGAGUUGUUUGGGAAUGCAGCUCUAAAUGGGAGGUAAAUUUCUUCUAAAGCUAAAUACUGGCCAGAGACCGAUAGCGCACAAGUAGAGUGAUCGAAAGAUGAAAAGCACUUUGGAAAGAGAGUCAAACAGCACGUGAAAUUGUUGAAAGGGAAGCGCUUGCAGCCAGACUUGCCUGUAGUUGCUCAUCCGGGCUUUUGCCCGGUGCACUCUUCUAUAGGCAGGCCAGCAUCAGUUUGGGCGGUUAGAUAAAGGUCUCUGUCAUGUACCUCUCUUCGGGGAGAACUUAUAGGGGAGACGACAUGUAACCAGCCCAGAUUGAGGUCCGCGCAUUUGCUAGGAUGCUGGCGUAAUGGCUGU
RNAcentral lists this ribosomal RNA (604 nucleotides) under uncultured fungus. Its description in RNAcentral is "eukaryotic LSU rRNA". It matches the Rfam family "Eukaryotic large subunit ribosomal RNA", at positions 23 to 641 of the family's 3401-position model. The record is from RNAcentral. Lineage: Eukaryota; Fungi.